This is a long non-coding RNA of Lactuca sativa (garden lettuce), 982 nucleotides long. RefSeq lists it as uncharacterized. The record is from RefSeq and is a predicted model, not a curated record. NCBI's taxonomy places the organism in Eukaryota, Viridiplantae, Streptophyta, Magnoliopsida, Asterales, Asteraceae.
UAAUUAAAUCUCAACAUCCUUAUGAAUAGUACCUUACCAUGGGUACUGUUCAUCAGGUUAGUUAUUUACCAGGGUUAUUCCCCACCGCUUCUCACUGAAUCUGUUUCAUCUAUCUCUCAUCGGUUUCUUUUCUACAAUCUACGGUGUCUGUCCAAUACAUUUUUCUCCAUCGAAGCCCCUCCUCCGGUAGCCUCUCCUCCGGUGUACAGUGUCCUGUCCAAUACUUUUAUAUCUGAUUCAAUAUAUAGAUAUGAUGAAGUUCAAAGUCUUCUGGUGACUUCCAUUCCUGUUCGCUCCAAGUACCACCACAUCCUAUGAACUUAUCUGGGUCUCAUCUAUGCCUGUAUACACCAUCACUACACAAAGAUUGAAGACUGCUAAAACCCGUUGCCAAUUCUGGUCUACCAGGUGCUCGAUAUAAUGUCAAGGUCAACUCAACAAAAGUUAUUUCGACAAAAAAAAAAAACAUUUUGUGUGUGGCUUCUCUUUUUGAGGGUUUGACAUGCCUGAAACAACAUAUGAAAAGAAGAAAGUUCUUCAAGUGAACUGAUUAUGCAAUUUACACGUGAAUUUCCAACCAUUAUUUCAAAUGAGUCGAUAGUAUCUCACAGGUUAUCAAACCAGUCAUGGGUAACAAUUUUUCAAGUUUUGGCUGUUGAGAAAGUUAUAGUCAUUAGGGUUGCAAGCAGUGAGAAGCUCUUUGGUUGGAACUGUAGAGAAGUGUGGGAUUUCUGGAAGACAAACGAAAAGAGUAAAUGUUGAUUUGGAAAUGGUAAUGGAACCUCUUCUGGGACAGAACACAACACAAUAAUUUUUUUUUGUCAUAAUGGUCUGACUAGAUAUCGAUAGAAUCUCAAGUAAUCACCUUUAUUAGUUUUUGUAAUGCUUUCAUUUUGUUGUAUGUUUUAGUUGAAAUUACACAUUCAACAAAAAAAAAAUAAAAAAACAAACACCAUUCUAACCCAUGCAAAGCAUGGGCUCC